RNAcentral lists this RNase P RNA (389 nucleotides) under Alteribacter keqinensis. RNAcentral's name for it is "Bacterial RNase P class B". It matches the Rfam family "Bacterial RNase P class B". Rfam says of the family: Ribonuclease P (RNase P) is a ubiquitous endoribonuclease, found in archaea, bacteria and eukarya as well as chloroplasts and mitochondria. Lineage: Bacteria; Bacillati; Bacillota; Bacilli; Caryophanales; Bacillaceae. The record is from Rfam by way of RNAcentral. RNAcentral also lists the same sequence under 1 other name.
ACGCUCGGGUAAUCGCUGUGCGCUUUAGCGUGCAGAGGAAAGUCCAUGCUCGCACAGUCUGCGAUGACUGUAGUGAUCGUGCUUGACGAAUUCAUAAGUCAAGGCAGCCUUCUGGCUGACGGCAGGGAAACCACCUAAGUCCUUUUUGGAUAUGGUGCAGUACCCUUGAAAGUGCCACAGUGACGAAGUCUGAUUCAGAAAUGAUCAGAGUGGAACGCGGUAAACCCCACGAGCGAGAAACCCAAAAUAUGGUAGGGGCAUCCCUUCGAAGGAAUUGAACGGAGAAGGGGGCAGAUGAGUUUUUCUCGUCUGGAGACAGAUGGUUACCACCGGAGUACGAGGGCUCACGCCCGCUGGCAGUACAAAGGAACAGAACAUGGCUUACAGAG